This 468-nucleotide ribosomal RNA is filed under the name uncultured bacterium. RNAcentral describes it as "partial 16S ribosomal RNA". It matches the Rfam family "Bacterial small subunit ribosomal RNA", at positions 28 to 507 of the family's 1533-position model. The record is from RNAcentral.
GACGAACGCUGUCGGCGUGCUUAACACAUGCACGUCGAACGGACAGGCCCUGCUUUUGUGGGGUGCUCGAAUGGCGAACGGGUGAGUAACACGUGAGUCACCUGCCCUUGCCUAUGGGCUAACUUCCGGACCCUCGGGCUAAUACCGGAUAGGAGCUCCCGCUGCAUGGUGGGGUUUGGACAGUUUCGGCGGUUGGGGAUGGACUCGCGGCUUCUCAGCUUGUUGGUGUGGUAGUGGCUUACCAAGGCUUUGACGGGUAUCCGGCCUGACAGGGUGACCGGCCACAGUGGGACUGAGAUACUGCACAGACUCCUACGGGAAGCAGAAGUGGGGGAUAUUGCACUAGGGGCGGAAGCCUGAUGCAGCAUCGCCGCCUGCGGGAUGACGGCCCUCGGGUUGUAAACCGCGUUCGCCUGGGACGAAGCGUGAGUGACGGUAAUGGGUAAAGAAGCACCGGAUAACUACGUG